AUUUGUUAUGGAAAAUAUAUUUGUUAAUUUCAUGUAAAAAUUAGUUUUUUCACUUAAAUUUGUAAACAAAUUCAAUAACAGGAGGUUAAAUGUAUUAGCAAUCUUGUGACAAUUUUACAUCAAACAUGACCUCUGUGACUUUGUUAUAAUAUUCUCUUAUUAAGAAUGGAUCUAAAAAUCUCCCUCUUAGAAAAAGCUUUUGUUUGUAAAAUAAAUGAUUGUCUAAUUUUAAAGUAAAACACAAUACCUCAUUCUUCCACACUCGUAAAAACUAGACACAAUAUAUAUGAUUAACGAUCUGUGGGAAUAAAAUUCUAUCUGUAAAUACAUGAAUGGGAAUCUUGAGAAUAGCUAUUAAUAUCAUGUAAGUGAAAGACUAACAAUAUGAGAGGCUCUCAAAUUAAAUUAGAGUAAAUAAAGCAGGAAUCAAGUGCUAUUUACAACAUGCGUAGACCCCUGUGUGGGAGGAGUGGGGUGUAGACCCUCACACAAAAAAGAGAAAGACAAUAAAUGGUAAUGAAAUUACAGAUGAUUUUACUAAACCCUUUAUAUAUUUUCAUUCUUUCUCAACUUGCUACAUUAUGACUUUCAAAUCAGAAUUUUAUAAUUUAAAUGAAUCUAAAAAUACCUUAAAUUGAGAGUUGAUAGGUAGUCAAAACUAAAAUGUUUAAUAAUUAAGCAGAAUCUAAUCAUUUAUAUCCUGUUAGAAUAAAGACAGUGUGAACAGAGGGUUUGAUUAGCUUAGAGGAGUAAGUCUCAUACUAUACAGACUAAACCAGGAGAGUCUGUUGAAAAUGUAGACUCAUUUCAUCAAUUCCAAUUCAACAGGUUUGGGUGAGACCAGAAAUCUGCAUUUUAUCAAGCUCCAUGGUGAUUCUAAUGCAGUUGGUUGGGGCCACACUUCGACAAAUACUGGCAAAAAGAGAAGUCCAAAACAUCGACAUUUCACCGAGACUCUCCAUAUACCAUCCAGGAACAAUGUUGCUCUGUCCCUAGGAAUCCCAGGCCUCUGCUUCCGGGGCAGAUCCUGUUGUGGACCACUAUAUAAUCUCUUCUUGUUCUGAUCAAUCCUUAUUUAGCAGAUUUCUUAUGACUGGCUUCCCUUGUGGUUUGCCUAGGGGGAGAAAACGGACUGUUCUGUCAACAAGGGCAUUUGAGGUUGUUUGAACAUCCUUCUCAUUGUGAGCUAAUAAAUUGGCACUCAGUUUAUACAUCAGUUUCUCUGGGCUCUUUUAAAGUUAGUCUGCCUCUGAAAGUUGGGUCCAUUUUCAGAUAACUGACCAAACUAGGCAUGUGAGUUCUCAAAGCUGAAGUCUCUUGGCCAGGAGGUAGCUAGCCCCUUCCCACAUUUGAGGAUAUUAGUUAUUUUUGCCAGCCUGGCAUCCUUUCCUAUUUUUCUGAUACAGCAUCUUGAAUUUCCCCUGGGGAAUCAGCCCUCUUCUACUCCCAGAUUCCUCCCAAAACUCAACAUGGCCUGUCCAUUUAAACUUAAUCCUAGAAUUUUAGUUAAAACAAAACUAAACUUUAGAGGUAAAGCUUAGAUCCAUUGGUACACAUCAUGGAGUCACAAGAGAAAAGCACGCUUGAGGACAACACCAUCACGGACAAAAGAAGAACCAAGAGUUAGACAUAAAAUGAGAGAGAGAGAAAGAAAAAAGGACAGUUGCUUAUCAUUUCAUUGCUUGAAUCUUGGAUACAGUUGGCCCUACCCAUGGCCUUUAUCUCACAUGAGCCAAUCAAUUCCCUUUUUUAUUUGAGCCAGUUUGAAUUGGAUUUAUUUCAUUUACUAAAGAAAGGGUCUUUAAUUAGGACAACACCUCUGUA
This 1824-nucleotide long non-coding RNA is filed under the name Equus asinus (donkey). RNAcentral describes it as "lncRNA (ENSEASG00005037488.1)". Lineage: Eukaryota; Metazoa; Chordata; Mammalia; Perissodactyla; Equidae. The record is from RNAcentral.